Molecule: ribosomal RNA, 466 nt
Filed under: uncultured bacterium
Lineage: Bacteria
Description: partial 16S ribosomal RNA
Rfam family: Bacterial small subunit ribosomal RNA
Source: RNAcentral
ACGAACGCUGGCGGCGUGCUUAACACAUGCAAGUCGAACGGAAAGGCCCUGCUUUUGUGGGGUGCUCGGGUGGCGAACGGGUGAGUAACACGUGAGUAACCUGCCCUUGACUUUGGGAUAACUUCAGGAAACUGGGGCUAAUACCGGAUAGGAGCUCCUGCUGCAUGGUGGGGGUUGGAAAGUUUCGGCGGUUGGGGAUGGACUCGCGGCUUAUCAGCUUGUUGGUGGGGUAGUGGCUUACCAAGGCUUUGACGGGUAGCCGGCCUGAGAGGGUGACCGGCCACAUUGGGACUGAGAUACGGCCCAGACUCCUACGGGAGGCAGCAGUGGGGAAUAUUGCACAAUGGGCGGAAGCCUGAUGCAGCAACGCCGCGUGCGGGAUGACGGCCUUCGGGUUGUAAACCGCUUUCGCCUGUGACGAAGCGUGGGUGACGGUAAUGGGUAAAGAAGCACCGGCUAACUACGU